This 274-nucleotide ribosomal RNA is filed under the name uncultured bacterium. RNAcentral describes it as "partial 16S ribosomal RNA". It matches the Rfam family "Archaeal small subunit ribosomal RNA", at positions 473 to 747 of the family's 1478-position model. The record is from RNAcentral.
AAACCAGCACCUCAAGUGGUCAGGAGGAUUAUUGGGCCUAAAGCAUCCGUAGCCUGUUCUAUAAGUUUCCGGUUAAAUCCACUAGCUCAACUAGUGGGCUGCCGAAAAUACUGUAGAGCUAGGGAGUGGGAGAGGUAGACGGUACUCGGGAGGAAGUGGUAAAAUGCUUUGAUCUCUCGAUGACCACCUGUGGCGAAGGCGGUCUACCAGAACACGUCCGACGGUGAGGGAUGAAAGCUGGGGGAGCAAACCGGAUUAGAAACCCGUGUAGUCC